GACGAACGCUGGCGGCGUGCUUAACACAUGCAAGUCGAACGGAAAGGCCCUGCUUGUGUGGGGUGCUUGAGUGGCGAAGGGGUGAGGAACACGAGAGUAACCUGCCCUUGACUUUGGGAUAACUUCAGGAAACUGGGGCUAAUACCGGAUAGGAGCGCCUGCUGCAUGGUGGGGGUUGGAAAGUUUCGGCGGUUGGGGAUGGACUCGCGGCUUAUCAGCUUGUUGGUGGGGUAGUGGCUUACCAAGGCUUUGACGGGUAGCCGGCCUGAGAGGGUGACCGGCCAAAGUGGGACUGAGCUACGGGCCAGAGUCGUACGGGAGGCAGCAGUGGGGAAUAUUGCACAAUGGGGGGAAGCCGGAUGCAGCAACGCCGCGUGCGGGAUGACGGCCUUCGGGUUGUAAACCGUUUUCGCCUGUGCCGAAGCGUGAGUGACGGUAACGGGUAAAGAAGCACCGGCUAACUACGUG
RNAcentral lists this ribosomal RNA (468 nucleotides) under uncultured bacterium. Its description in RNAcentral is "partial 16S ribosomal RNA". It matches the Rfam family "Bacterial small subunit ribosomal RNA", at positions 28 to 507 of the family's 1533-position model. The record is from RNAcentral.